GCUACGGGAGGCAGCAGUGAGGAAUAUUGGUCAAUGGACGCAAGUCUGAACCAGCCAUGCCGCGUGCAGGAAGACGGCUCUAUGAGUUGUAAACUGCUUUUGUACGAGGGUAAACGCAGAUACGCGUAUCUGUCUGAAAGUAGCGUACGAAUAAGGAUCGGCUAACUCCGUGCCAGCAGCCGAGGUAAUACGGAGGAUUCAAGCGUUCUCCGGAUUUAUUGGGGUUAAAGGGGUCGUAGGCGGUCGGAUAAGUUCGAGGUGAAAUCCCGAGGCUCAACUUCGGAAUUGCCUUUUAUACUGUUCGGCUAGCGAGUAGUUUCGGUAGGCGUAUUGUAUGGUGUAGCGGUGAAAUGCUU
RNAcentral lists this ribosomal RNA (356 nucleotides) under uncultured bacterium. Its description in RNAcentral is "partial 16S ribosomal RNA". It matches the Rfam family "Bacterial small subunit ribosomal RNA", at positions 338 to 691 of the family's 1533-position model. The record is from RNAcentral.